Molecule: transfer RNA, 69 nt
Filed under: Triops cancriformis
Lineage: Eukaryota; Metazoa; Arthropoda; Branchiopoda; Notostraca; Triopsidae
Description: tRNA-Trp
Source: RNAcentral
UAAGACCUUAAGUUAAAAAAACUCCGAGCCUUCAAAGCUUGAAAUAAGAUAAUAUUCUUAGAUCUUAGC